GAUCAUCAGUAUCCCUGAUUUCCACUCAGCCCAGGUCUCGCCUCACACUGCUGCAGAUCUGGCAGUUGAGCAACAAGCACUGAGAGCUGGAAUCUCUUCCCACCAGGGGAUUUCCAGGUGAAUUACUUUGAGGGCUUCACACUUUCCUUGGCCAAUGAACCAAAUCAGAAAGGUGACGAGACCCUGCACCUGAAGCCACGACUGAGGCUUUUUCACUCCAGAGCCACAGAUCAUGAGGAUGACAACAAAGAGAAUCCAGGAAUCAUCCAGGCAGCAGAUAAAGAAGAAUAGGAAGCCUCACACCACCUUCUCCACCCCAGGCAGGACCAGGUCGGCCACAGAAGAGCAUUUCUGAGCCUGCUGCUGCCUUUGGCCCCAGCUUCUGCUUUAAAAACCAAUGAGCAACUUGGAACCCAGCCUGAAGGCUGAGCCUGACCUGCCCUGAGGAGCACAUGGGCUCUGCCAGCAAUGCCACAGCACAGGCAGGGCCACAGCCCGGGAUGAUUCCCAUGAUCCACCCCUAGAGGAGGCAUUCCAGGCUGGUUCUAUCCCCACUGGGUGCAGCUGGGCUUCCCACUUUGCUUCCUUGCAGUGAAACAAGCUCCUGCACAAGAUGAUUCCAAUCAAUGCCAAACUUUGCCUCUAUCCAUUGCCUCUC
Molecule: non-coding RNA, 658 nt
Organism: Taeniopygia guttata (zebra finch)
Lineage: Eukaryota; Metazoa; Chordata; Aves; Passeriformes; Estrildidae
Source: RefSeq, a predicted model, not a curated record